Molecule: unclassified non-coding RNA, 782 nt
Filed under: Hevea brasiliensis (rubber tree)
Lineage: Eukaryota; Viridiplantae; Streptophyta; Magnoliopsida; Malpighiales; Euphorbiaceae
Source: RNAcentral
GCUAAACAUCAUCAAUUAAUAAAUAAAAAAAAAGGAUUUAUUCCUUUAAGGUGUCACCUAUGAAAAGUCCCUCUGGCCUCUGCCCUUAGAAUACACGCAGUUCUUAUUAUUAUACAUGUAAACAAAUUUCGAAAUCCUUCCAAAAUGACGAGCUGACACUUGCACACCGUCACCGUCACCGCCACCGCCACCGCCACCGCAAUCGCCGUCAUCCAACACCACCGCCUCCUCCUCCCUCUCAAGAACAUUUUUAACACUAAACGACAAAGAUUCUUUCCUCAACAAGAACCGCCCCGUCGGAGGGUCCCACAAGUUGAGCAACCCCAGGGGCCGACCUGAAGGUCGCCGUACCUGUACCGUCAUGCACUGGAUGGGAUUAUCCGCCGGCUCAUCUGGUUUCCCAUCCUUCAAGACGUCACAAAGCGAAACCCUAGCACUCCCCACUGGUUUCUGCCUGACGUGCCCAUAAGCAUAUAUGUCGAUGUUCAGUGCUGCCCUGAUAUCAGUCUCUGCCAUAUGUUGCCGAAACUUACCUUGACAAUCUCGUUCCAGGUACGGUCUCUGCUGCCGCGCUCGUCGACGUGGGUUCCGGCGACGUGAACGUCUUUCUCGACAAAGACAAGAGCGUAGGGUUUCAUCUUGGCAAUAUGCUUGACAUUCUUGAGGUUCUCGGCUGAGAUUAUCAAGACUUCUAUUUCUCUAAGUUGAUCCUCCGGUGGAUCGUUCUUGCGGUGGUUAUGAUAGUGUCAGAUGGCUCAAUUGCUGAGCACUUCUUUUGUCAG